AAUAGAUACCCAGGUAGUCCACGCCGUAAACGAUGAGUGCUAAGUGUUAGAGGGUUUCCGCCCUUUAGUGCUGCAGCUAACGCAUUAAGCACUCCGCCUGGGGAGUACGGCCGCAAGGCUGAAACUCAAAGGAAUUGACGGGGGCCCGCACAAGCGGUGGAGCAUGUGGUUUAAUUCGAAGCAACGCGAAGAACCUUACCAGGUCUUGACAUCCUCUGACAACCCUAGAGAUAGGGCUUUCCCCUUCGGGGGACAGAGUGACAGGUGGUGCAUGGUUGUCGUCAGCUCGUGUCGUGAGAUGUUGGGUUAAGUCCCGCAACGAGCGCAACCCUUGAUCUUAGUUGCCAGCAUUCAGUUGGGCACUCUAAGGUGACUGCCGGUGACAAACCGGAGGAAGUGGGGAUGACGUCAAAUCAUCAUGCCCCUUAUGACCUGGGCUACACACGUGCUACAAUGGAUGGUACAAAGGGCUGCAAACCUGCGAAGGUAAGCGAAUCCCAUAAAGCCAUUCUCAGUUCGGAUUGCAGG
Molecule: ribosomal RNA, 528 nt
Filed under: uncultured bacterium
Lineage: Bacteria
Description: bacterial SSU rRNA
Rfam family: Bacterial small subunit ribosomal RNA
Source: RNAcentral